CUGGGUGUGGAAGCGCAGUAAUGCGUUAAGCUAACCAGUACUAAUUGCUCGUGCGGCUUGACCCUA
Molecule: ribosomal RNA, 66 nt
Filed under: Paracidovorax konjaci
Lineage: Bacteria; Pseudomonadati; Pseudomonadota; Betaproteobacteria; Burkholderiales; Comamonadaceae
Description: Acidovorax konjaci 23S rRNA. Bacterial LSU
Source: RNAcentral